AGCUUCCAGUGUGGUUCUGUUUAGUGCAUCAAGCUGAUGGAUGGGGAAAAGGCAAGGCUUGGAGAAAAUGGAAAUUUCACAUGUCAGACCUGCAACACCUAUGAAACAGAAGGAAACGUCAGCUUGGAAGAUGAGCAGAGGUGUGGCAGUUCAAGACACAGGAGAUGAAAUUCUGAGGGCCUGGUGGAGAAGGAAUGAGAGCAGGGA
Long non-coding RNA from Ochotona princeps (American pika), 207 nucleotides. RefSeq lists it as uncharacterized. NCBI's taxonomy places the organism in Eukaryota, Metazoa, Chordata, Mammalia, Lagomorpha, Ochotonidae. The transcript has 3 exons. The record is from RefSeq and is a predicted model, not a curated record.